This 2176-nucleotide long non-coding RNA is filed under the name Pelobates cultripes (western spadefoot toad). The record is from RNAcentral. Lineage: Eukaryota; Metazoa; Chordata; Amphibia; Anura; Pelobatidae.
UGUUAAUCAGUACCAGCUGUUUUCCAUUUGCUAAUGACCCUAUGCCCAUUGACCUCUCCAUAGGUUCCUGGACAUCUCCAGUAUCUCUAGCUGUUGUAAUGUCUCUCAUCCAUCAAUCUGCCCAGAUUUACAACUACCGGUAUUGUCCCCGUAAUCCAUUUACUUCACCAAGAGUCUUCAUCUGCUUCAUUCAGACCUACCUGAGAUACUCGGCUUGUUUGAGAGAUCGCUUGGACAGAGAAGGAACCAAGUAAAUCUAGUCUAAAUAUAUUUUUCUAACGGGAGACUCAUGUCUUUCCAAAUAAAUGCUGGGAAUGUAUUUUAUAUCUGCCAGUAUUUUGUGUAUUAUUUCUCAAUAAUCACUGUCCUCGUCUCUCUACAUACUGAUAUUUACUAAACCUAUAACUUUAAUAAAGUCCUCCACAUUCUGACAUAUCUCUCCUCACACUGACAGAUAUCCCAUGCCCUGCUGUCACUUUCCAUCUCACACCUGUCCCCAUACCCUAAUGUCACUAUCUUCCUCAUACAGACAGAUAUCCCAUACCCUGCUGUCAUUAUCCUCCUCACACCGACAGAUAUCCCAUACCCUGCUGUCAUUAUCCUCCUCACACCGACAGAUAUCCCAUACCCUGCUGUCAUUAUCCUCCUCACACCGACAGAUAUCCCAUACCCUGCUGUCAUUAUCCUCCUCAUACAGACAGAUAUCCCAUACCCUGCUGUCAUUAUCCUCCUCACACCGACAGAUAUCCCAUACCCUGCUGUCAUUAUACUCCUCACACCGACAGAUAUCCCAUACCCUGCUGUCAUUACCCUCCUCACACCGACAGAUAUCCCAUACCCUGCUGUCAUUAUCCUCCUCACACCCAAAGAUACACCAUACCCUGCUGUCAUUACCCUCCUCACACCCAAAGAUACACCAUACCCUGCUGUCAUUAUCCUCCUCACACCGACAGAUACCCCAUACCCUGCUGUCAUUAUCCUCCUCACACCGACAGAUAUCCCAUACCCUGCUGUCAUUAUCCUCCUCACACCGACAGAUAUCCCAUACCCUGCUGUCAUUAUCCUCCUCACACCGACAGAUACACCAUACCCUGCUGUCAUUAUCCUCCUCACACCCAAAGAUACACCAUACCCUGCUGUCAUUAUCCUCAUCACACCCACAGCUAUCCCAUACCCUGCUGUCAUUAUCCUCCUCACACCGACAGAUAUCCCAUACCCUGCUGUCAUUAUACUCCUCACACCCAAAGAUACACCAUACCCUGCUGUCAUUAUCCUCCUCAUACAGACAGAUAUCCCAUACCCUGCUGUCAUUAUCCUCCUCACACCCAAGAUACACCAUACCCUGCUGUCACUUAUCCUCCUCACACCGACAGAUAUCCCAUACCCUGCUGUCAUUAUCCUCCUCACACCGACAGAUAUCCCAUACCCUGCUGUCAUUAUCCUCCUCACACCGACAGAUAUCCCAUACCCUGCUGUCAUUAUACUCCUCACACCGACAGAUAUCCCAUACCCUGCUGUCAUUAUACUCCUCACACCGACAGAUAUCCCAUACCCUGCUGUCAUUACUCUCCUGCACCACAGAUACCCCAUACCCUGCUGUCAUUACUCUCCUCGCACCCACAGAUACCCCAUACCCUGCUGUCAUUACUCUCCUCGCACCCACAGAUACCCCAUACCCUGCUGUCAUUACUCUCCUCGCACCCACAGACACCCCAUACCCUGCUGUCAUUACUCUCCUCGCACCCACAGAUACCCCAUACCCUGCUGUCAUUACUCUCCUCGCACCCACAGAUACCCCAUACCCUGCUGUCAUUACUCUCCUCGCACCCACAGACACCCCAUACCCUGCUGUCAUUACUCUCCUCGCACCCACAGACACCCCAUACCCUGCUGUCAUUACUCUCCUCGCACCCACAGAUACCCCAUACCCUGCUGUCAUUACUCUCCUCGCACCCACAGAUACCCCAUACCCUGCUGUCAUUACUCUCCUCGCACCCACAGAUACCCCAUACCCUGCUGUCAUUAUUCUAAGGAGUAGAAAUAUUUAUACUUGUUGGUUUUGUCUUUAACAGACUCCAGACUGCCCUUUCCCAUGUUCAAGAAGUAUAUACUGAACAGGAUCAAUGUUCUAAGAAUCAAUCUGUUAUUACCGAAUGUAUCCAGGACACUGAUAAGG